AUGAAUCUUCUAAGUUGGAAUUGUUGGGGUGGGGGGAACUCUCGGACAGUUCGUGACUUGGCGACUUUGGUUCAGUCGCAUUCCCCCAAAGUGGUGUUUUUGUGUGAAACUCGGCAGUCUAAAACUCGCAUGAAAAGGUACCAAGUUCGGCUGGGACUACAAGGUUUUGAUGCAGUUGAUAGUAUUGGUAAUAGUGGUGGCCUUGUGUUAUUUUGGCAUGAAUCCCUAUCUGCUGAGGUGGUUUCCUCAAGUCAACGUUGCAUGGAUGCGCUUGUGAGGGAAGGACCAGAUGACCCACCUUGGCGUCUAACAUGUGUCUACGGAGAGCCAAGGGUAGAAGAUCGUCAUAAUACGUGGUCCCUUUUGCAGAGCAUGAGCAUGCAAUAUGAUCUUCCUUGGCUUGUAGUUGGUGAUUUCAACGAAUGUGUGUGGGAUUUCGAGCACUUUUCAGCCACGCCAAGGGCAGCUAGUCAGAUGCAAGCUUCUAGAGAUGUCCUUGAGCUUUGCGCGCUAACUGACUUAAGCUUUGUUGGAGUCCCUUAUACGUAUGAUAAUAAGAGAGCUGGCAGUACAAAUGUAAAAGUUUGUCUGGAUAGAGUUGUGGCUAACCCAGCAUGGAGAAAUCGUUUCGAUCAGGCGCUGGUCACGCACCUCACUUCUCCAUGUUCAGACCAUGCGCCACUUCAUGUUGCUAGCGAGCAGUUCGAGGACCGGCCUUGCAAACAAAGAAUUAGAAGGUAUGAAGUGAUGUGGGAGCGUGAACCGGCAUUACAGGAGGUUACUGCAAAAGCUUGGUCGGCUGCUGGAACAAAAAGUUUGUUAGGCGAUAUGCAUGGAGCUUUACGGGAUACAAUGCAUAAAUUAUGCCAGUGGAGCAAAACAAAAUUUGGCAGCGUUUGA
RNAcentral lists this ribosomal RNA (900 nucleotides) under Triticum aestivum (bread wheat). Its description in RNAcentral is "partial small subunit ribosomal RNA". The record is from RNAcentral. Lineage: Eukaryota; Viridiplantae; Streptophyta; Magnoliopsida; Poales; Poaceae.